UGACGACACCGUGUCCUUAGCAACGGUCGCGUCUCUACGGCAACAUCCUCCGAUGUCCCCUACCGCUGCGUUCACCGUGACUCUCCGCCGCUUCCACUCGGGUGAAGUGGUGUUUUUUGGGGGGUGGGUGGGGGGGGAUCCGAUCGAGCGCGAGCGCCCACGCCAGCUGCUGAUUGUGUCUCGCGACUUCAGCGCCUAAAGUUGGUGUGCAUGCGCGGCAACUUGGCCACGAGGACGCGCCUCCGUCAUUGAUCGUCCCUUACCGGCACAACCCGCAGCCGCAGGUACCGCUUGUUUCCAUCUGGGCCGUUUUUAUUCAUUUCCUAAUUUCUCGUGAAUGGAUCCCGCCCUGCUCAUCUUCCUGCUGUACGUGAUGAUCGCGCACGACCUGCUGUGCGGCUGGAUGCAGUACCGCAGAGAGCGCGCCGAGCCGCGGGGACGAGCAGCUCGACCCCUGCUGCGCUCGAGGUGUCAUAUAUGACGACCUUUUUAUCAUGAUGACACUUCCGCAAUAACAAACUCCCCCAGGUGUGCCACGGCGCGUGGAGUACAAGCAGGCCCCACAGAGGAGGGAAGGACCUGAGGAAGAGUGGACGCAUUGUCAGAAAAGCCUGAUAAAAGAGAGGAGCCAAACAAAGACACUUAACCUGAGUAACCUGAAGCACAAUUGGCUCUCAGAGUUGCAGCAAGUUAUGCAAAUUUGUCUCUGCUGUCUUUCAAACACGCCGAAUGUGAGUUUUGGAAGCCAAAUCCACCAGAAGAUGAAAUCUUUGUUCAUGUUGCAUUAAGUCUCAACUUCUCUUUGAGCUCUAUGUUUGUUCCCCCAAAUAAAAACCUGUCUG
This is a long non-coding RNA of Gasterosteus aculeatus aculeatus (three-spined stickleback), 842 nucleotides long. NCBI's taxonomy places the organism in Eukaryota, Metazoa, Chordata, Actinopteri, Perciformes, Gasterosteidae. The record is from Ensembl.